This 513-nucleotide ribosomal RNA is filed under the name uncultured bacterium. Its description in RNAcentral is "partial 16S ribosomal RNA". It matches the Rfam family "Bacterial small subunit ribosomal RNA", at positions 28 to 523 of the family's 1533-position model. The record is from RNAcentral.
GAUGAACGCUGGCGGCGUGCCUAAUACAUGCAAGUCGAGCGAACAGACGAGGAGCUUGCUCCUCUGACGUUAGCGGUGGACGGGUGAGUAACACGUGGAUAACCUACCUAUAAGACUGGGAUAACUUCGGGAAACCGGAGCUAAUACCGGAUAACAUGUUGAACCGCAUGGUUCAACAGUGAAAGACGGUCUUGCUGUCACUUAUAGAUGGAUCCGCGCCGCAUUAGCUAGUUGGUAAGGUAACGGCUUACCAAGGCAACGAUGCGUAGCCGACCUGAUAGGGUGAUCGGCCACACUGGAAAUGAGACACGGUCCUGACUCCUACGGGAGGCAGCAGUAGGGAAUCUUCCGCAAUGGGCGAAAGCCUGACGGAGCAACGCCGCGUGAGUGAAGAAGGUCUUCGGAUCGUAAAACUCUGUUAUUAGGGAAGAACAAAUGUGUAAGUAACUAUGCACGUCUUGACGGUACCUAAUCAGAAAGCCACGGCUAACUACGUGCCAGCCGCCGCAGUAA